This 1137-nucleotide long non-coding RNA is filed under the name Triticum aestivum (bread wheat). RNAcentral describes it as "long non-coding RNA (TAES_LNC025909)". Lineage: Eukaryota; Viridiplantae; Streptophyta; Magnoliopsida; Poales; Poaceae. The record is from RNAcentral.
UCUUAGAAGGCGAAGACCCAGAUCUGUUAUUCUUUGAUCCCUGCCGCCUCGACAAAAUUUUUAAGACCAAGAGGAUUGUUGUCAGCUUGGACCUAGCAAGAUAUGUCGUAGUAAUCAUUAAGCAAUCACAUUGGUAAGCAACACUGGAGGGCACAGUAGAACCAAAUAUAUACAUGUUGACCAUAUCUUAAUCAUGAUAGAUCCAGUUUUUUGAAAAUAUAAACAACCAAGCUUCUAUCAAGCCUAAACCCACUACUGGAAGCAAAGUAAAUUUCCUUAUAUACAGUGACUCUACCGGCAGUUUGGUUUGUUUGCCUGUGUGGGUGUUGACUUGCUUCAGAAGUCAUAGAUACAAAUAGAAGCAUAAUAUGUGGUUUUAGAAAAUAUAUCAAGUUCUAAAGAUAAAUAAAACUACUUUCAGUAUAUAUAUAGUAGAUGCCAUUGCAGAUAGCACUCCAAUACUAACAUUAUAAAAGGUAAUCUGGUUUUGGUCACACCAUCAAAAAAUUAGAUAAACACCAGAUGGCAAACAAAAUACAUGUUAAGCCUCCAUCCUUGUGAUUAUUGUUUUUCUUGUUCCAGAGCUCCUGUACAAAUGAUUUACAUGGUGAUCCGGAAAAAGUUGAAGCAAGCAUAUAAAUAGUGACCCUCCUAGUGAGUGAACAUAAUGUAAAAAAAAACUCAUUUUCAUUUAGUGCAAACUAUGAUUCAAUCUUUCUUCUUUUUCCAACAAAAAUGUUAAUAUUCAGAAGGUAGUUGGAGACAGGGCUACACCUUAUGAAGGUUUUAAUCUUACGGUUCAAUGAAUUGCAUAGGCAGAGCACACAGUCGAUGGAUUCAAACUAUUUUUAAGAGAUGAUGUGGCAAGGCUAAGAAGAUGAAAAAUAAUUAAGAAGAAAAGUUCAUGCUCAACAACUUACGAAGAUUUAACUGGGUAGUGCCUCAUGGCAGUCAUCAACCUUUGAGCCGUAGAACCGUAAGAUCAAACUGAGACUCAAGCCUGCAUAACCAUAUGAAGAAAAGGAUCAUCAACAAAGAGGACAAAGUGAAUCAGGAACCAGUUCCUGGUUCCUCUAAAAAAUCAUUCUAAAUGACAAACUGUGAGAAGAAAAAAGAACUGGUCUAAUGACAUAGAUG